RNAcentral lists this long non-coding RNA (1136 nucleotides) under Homo sapiens (human). RNAcentral describes it as "HSALNT0115776". Lineage: Eukaryota; Metazoa; Chordata; Mammalia; Primates; Hominidae. The record is from RNAcentral.
UUCAAGUAAAGAAGGCGCCCCAGAUAAAAAGGCAGGCAGUCCAGACACCACAGCAUGUGCAUGCCACACGCAUGCGCCCCCCCAACCCCUAUGAUGAGAAGACACACCCUCGAGUGAUGAACUUCUUUCUGUGCUGGAGCCCAUGGGGUCCUCUGAGUCCCACUUCCUGCCUUCCUCAGGUACCUGCUUCUGACUGCAGAAGGCUCUUCCGUCCCAGGAUUGUGGUUUCUCACCAGUUUCUCAACAGUUUCCUUUGUUAUAAAACUUGAGAGAAAACAUUCCUCUAGUAGAAAGAGACUGCCUUCAUCCACCCUUUGGAAUAACCAGCUCCAGCCUAGGUCCCAUUUCCUGCACUGGUGGAAGAAAAGUCUCUUCUUCGCUAAGUGGUUCCUUUGAUGACCUUAUAGAUUCAGGCAGCUUGGGAAGGGAAGUUUCUCUAAAAGCCACAGAGCGUCCAGCUCAUGGAACCCUCAGGAUCCCUGGCCCAUCUUAGGCCACAUGGAGUCAGCCUCGUGCCCCCAGCCCAUCUGUUCCUGUGCACUGCACUCCAGUGGGUCUCACCCUUGCAUCCAGGGUUCUCUCCCACAGGAUGAGCUUGUCAACAUUCUCUUUUUCUAACACACACACUUGUCAGCAGGUGCUGGUAUAAGCCAAGCUGAGCUCGUGGGAGGAUGGCAAGAGAAUAGGCCCAACAGUCUUUGUGGGAGACAGAGCCCACGUUUCUCCACAAACAGCUUCCGGGAAGAGUGGACGGGUCAGACUAGACCAAACCAGCCUCUUGAGAACACCACACUGCCCAGACCCACUUAGUGCCUCCGUGUAACCCGCUGGUUAGAGUCCACCUGCUAGGCAGCCAGAAGCGGCAAAAGCCCAGCCCCACUGUCCCAUUCUUGACCUGGUCCUCCAUGCUCACUGUGACAGCAGCACAGGCACCCCGACCGGGCCACAGCGAGCUGGUGGCCAUGUCCCUGGCUCUGCUAACUUGGCCUAUCUCAUUUCUUAACCUGUUUUUCAUGAUGUGGACCUCUUGAGAGUAUACUUGAAAAAAGUGAAUUAUCUAUGUGGAUAAAGGACUGGUACACUAUGUUGAAAACGUAACAAACCAACCAGAUGGGAAAGCAUCUGUGCUAUGGGAC